UGGGGAAUAUUGCACAAUGGGCGAAAGCCUGAUGCAGCAACGCCGCGUGAGUGAUGACGGUCUUCGGAUUGUAAAGCUCUGUCUUUUGGGACGAUAAUGACGGUACCAAAGGAGGAAGCCACGGCUAACUACGUGCCAGCAGCCGCGGUAAUACGUAGGUGGCAAGCGUUGUCCGGAUUUACUGGGCGUAAAGGAUGUGUAGGCGGAUACUUAAGUGAGAUGUGAAAGCCCCGAGCUUAACUUGGGGACUGCAUUUCAAACUGGGUGUCUAGAGUGCAGGAGAGGAAAGCGGAAUUCCUAGUGUAGCGGUGAAACGCGUAGAGAUUAGGAAGAACAUCAGUGGCGAAGGCGGCUUUCUGGACUGUAACUGACGCUGAGGCAUGAAAGCGUGGGGAGCAAACAGGAUUAGAUACCCUGGUAGUCCACGCCGUAAACGAUGAGUACUAGGUGUAGGAGGUAUCGACUCCUUCUGUGCCGCAGUUAACACAAUAAGUACUCCGCCUGGGAAGUACGGUCGCAGGAUUA
This 525-nucleotide ribosomal RNA is filed under the name uncultured Clostridium sp. RNAcentral's name for it is "bacterial SSU rRNA". It matches the Rfam family "Bacterial small subunit ribosomal RNA", at positions 355 to 896 of the family's 1533-position model. The record is from RNAcentral. Lineage: Bacteria; Bacillati; Bacillota; Clostridia; Eubacteriales; Clostridiaceae.